UACGGGGGGGGCAAGCGUUGUUCGGAAUUACUGGGCGUAGAGGGCUCGUAGGCGGCCAACUAAGUCAGACGUGAAAUCCCUCGGCUUAACCGGGGAACUGCGUCUGAUACUGGAUGGCUUGAGGUUGGGAGAGGGAUGCGGAAUUCCAGGUGUAGCGGUGAAAUGCGUAGAUAUCUGGAGGAACACCGGUGGCGAAGGCGGCAUCCUGGACCAAUUCUGACGCUGAGGAGCGAAAGCCAGGGGAGCAAACGGG
RNAcentral lists this ribosomal RNA (253 nucleotides) under uncultured bacterium. RNAcentral describes it as "partial 16S ribosomal RNA". It matches the Rfam family "Bacterial small subunit ribosomal RNA", at positions 524 to 776 of the family's 1533-position model. The record is from RNAcentral.